RNAcentral lists this transfer-messenger RNA (349 nucleotides) under Dehalococcoidia bacterium. It matches the Rfam family "transfer-messenger RNA". From Rfam's summary of the family: Bacterial tmRNA, also known as 10Sa RNA or SsrA, is named for its dual tRNA and mRNA-like properties. The record is from RNAcentral. Lineage: Bacteria; Bacillati; Chloroflexota; Dehalococcoidia.
GGGGACGCGUGGUUUCGACAGGAAGAUCACCGCUAGAUUGCGGGCCGUGGCGCCGUGCACCACGUAAAAAGCGGCAAAACAUAAACGGCGAACGAGAAUUCGCUCUCGCGGCCUAAGGGCUGCGACUUUCACCCAACCCCGACCUAGCGGGUUGGGUUCGAGAGAUGAAAUGCUAGGUUGCGUUGUUCGGGUGUUAGUGACGAACAUCUAAGGCUCCACUAACUGGUCGCCACACUUGCUACGCCGAUGGGGUGGGGUGGCGAUGAGAUAAAUACCGACGGCUACGCUCGUAGAAGUCGAAACGGAAACCUUUCUGGACGGGGAGUUCGACUCUCCCCCGUCUCCACCA